RNAcentral lists this long non-coding RNA (456 nucleotides) under Mytilus galloprovincialis (Mediterranean mussel). Lineage: Eukaryota; Metazoa; Mollusca; Bivalvia; Mytilida; Mytilidae. The record is from RNAcentral.
AUUAAAUAUUGAUAUACGUAUAUCAUUUGGAAUGAAAAUGUUGAACUGGUCCUUAUCAGAACUGGUUAAAUGAUUUUAGCAAUGCAAAUUAUGUUCAUUAAUAAGCAUCGGUAUUUUCGUCCACUAUUGCAGACUUAGUUAACCUUACAUCCUUCUCCUACAUUGUGUCAAUAAUAAUUACAACAAUGAAAAUUCGUGAAAGAUUUCCGACAAAAAUAAUCAUUGACAACAAAAAGCUCUGUACAGCUGGAAAAAAACAUACAACUAGUCAUACAAUCAAAGAGCUAUAAUUCUCGAUUUUUGGAACGGAGCAUGCACAAAAAAUAGAAACAGUUGAAGAGCUAUCAGACCAAAUAGAACCUAAUAAAUAGCCAAAACAUGCAGACGAAGAUCAACUUUGUUUAAUGGAGUUGAAACCUUAUAAAAAAGAAUGUUUGGUAUGAAUUGCAAUGAGAC